CAGUAGCCGCGGUAAUACAGAGGGUGCAAGCGUUAAUCGGAAUUACUGGGCGUAAAGCGCGCGUAGGUGGUUCGCCAAGUUGGAUGUGAAAUCCCCGGGCUCAACCUGGGAACUGCAUCCAAAACUGGCGAGCUAGAGUAUGGUAGAGGGUGGUGGAAUUUCCUGUGUAGCGGUGAAAUGCGUAGAUAUAGGAAGGAACAUCAGUGGCGAAGGCGACUACCUGGACUGAUACUGACACUGAGGUGCGAAAGCGUGGGGAGCAAACAGGAUUAGAUACCCCGGUAGUCCCUGUCUCUUAUAC
This 301-nucleotide ribosomal RNA is filed under the name uncultured bacterium. RNAcentral's name for it is "partial 16S ribosomal RNA". It matches the Rfam family "Bacterial small subunit ribosomal RNA", at positions 509 to 807 of the family's 1533-position model. The record is from RNAcentral.